RNAcentral lists this ribosomal RNA (503 nucleotides) under uncultured bacterium. Its description in RNAcentral is "partial 16S ribosomal RNA". It matches the Rfam family "Bacterial small subunit ribosomal RNA", at positions 30 to 523 of the family's 1533-position model. The record is from RNAcentral.
AUUGAACGCUGGCGGCAGGCUUAACACAUGCAAGUCGAGCGGGGUGAUGGUGCUUGCACUAUCACUUAGCGGCGGACGGGUGAGUAAUGCUUAGGAAUCUGCCUAUUAGUGGGGGACAACAUCUCGAAAGGGAUGCUAAUACCGCAUACGUCCUACGGGAGAAAGCAGGGGAUCACUUGUGACCUUGCGCUAAUAGAUGAGCCUAAGUCGGAUUAGCUAGUGGGUGGGGUAAAGGCCCACCAAGGCGAAGAUCUGUAGCGGGUCUGAGCGGAUGAGCCGCCACACUGGGACUGCAACACGGCCCAGACUCCUACGGGAGGCAGCAGUGGGGACUAUUGGACAAUGGGGGGAACACUGAGCAAGCCAUGCCGCGUGUGUGAAGAAGGCCUUAUGGUUGUAAAGCACUUUAAGCGAGGAGGAGGCUCUUUUGGUUAAUACCCAAGAUGAGUGGACGUUACUCGCAGAAUAAGCACCGGCUAACUCUGUGCCAGCCGCCGCCGUAA